CAUUGUAUGUGGCGAUCUAUUUUUUACAGUCUAUGCUCGCUAUCCCAAGGUUCAUUGCGAUCCCAAGGUUCACUGCGGUUUUCCACAAGCCUGUUUCUGCCUAUCACCAUGAGUGAUUCCUCAAUACUCAGAUUUAUCAUCAAGAUCUCAAUUAUAAGCUCAAGUUUUGAUGACAACUUGGUGAUCUGCAGAAAGCACCACCAUGUAAGGAAGGCCAAGACCACUCUGGAAUCAGUCAAGGGAUUGCAGUGACCAGACAUGCUACUGUAACUCUCAUGGUCAUGUGCUGGAAUUAGCAGAUGUUCAACAAUUUGGCCAUCUCGCUGACCUGUUGAUAUCAGAAGACCCCAACAGCUCUGCAAAGCAAGUUGCAAAACAGAAUCCAUGAAACUGGCAGUGACUGGAAACCAAUUGGAAGACUUUGGUCUGUGAUGUAGAGGAGUGGGCAGAGGCAGAAGCAAAGACAACAAAAAGAAGAAGUGAUGUGGAUGUCUUCGUCAUAUUGCAUGACUCUGCUGACCCAGCAACAAAGAGGAGGGUGUUCAACAUCAUCCUGCUAGUCAGGAUUCUUCAGGAGAAGCAGUGGAUUCUUGUGGCAGAGAUGGUCAACCACUAUAAAUACCUUUCAACUCAUCCUGGUUCUUUCAAAGAACUUUCUUGCUUGUUUGCUACUGAAA
RNAcentral lists this long non-coding RNA (677 nucleotides) under Danio rerio (zebrafish). RNAcentral describes it as "si:dkey-117a16.1 (ENSDARG00000101275.2)". Lineage: Eukaryota; Metazoa; Chordata; Actinopteri; Cypriniformes; Danionidae. The record is from RNAcentral.